ACUGCUCAGUAACACGUGGACAACCUACCCUUUGGACGGGGAUAACCCCGGGAAACUGGGAAUAAUACCCGAUAGAUCUGAGAUGCUGGAAUGCACUCAGAUUGAAAGCUCCGGUGCCGAAGGAUGGGUCUGCGGCCUAUCAGGUAGUAGUGGGUGUAGCGUACCUACUAGCCUACGACGGGUACGGGUUGUGAGAGCAAGAGCCCGGAGAUGGAUUCUGAGACACGAAUCCAGGCCCUACGGGGUGCAGCAGGCGCGAAAACUUUACAAUGCCGGCAACGGCGAUAAGGGGACCUCGAGUGCCAGGUUACAAUCCUGGCUGUCGUAAUGCCUAAAAAGCAUUGCAUAGCAAGGGCCGGGCAAGACCGGUGCCAGCCGCCGCGGUAACACCGGCGGCUCGAGUGGUAACCGUUAUUAUUGGGUCUAAAGGGUCUGUAGCCGGCCGGAUAAGUCUCUUGGGAAAUCUGGCAGCUUAACUGUCAGGCUUUCAGGAGAUACUGUUCGGCUCGAGACCGGGAGAGGUGAGAGGUACUUCAGGGGUAGGGGUGAAAUCUUGUAAUCCUUGAAGGACCACCAGUGGCGAAGGCGUCUCACCAGAACGGAUCUGACGGCAAGGGACGAAAGCUAGGGGCACGAACCGGAUUAGAUACCCGGGUAGUCCUAGCCGUAAACAAUACUCGCUAGGUGUCGGCCACGGUGCGACCGUGGUCGGUGCCGUAGGGAAACCGUGAAGCGAGCCACCUGGGAAGUACGGCCGCAAGGCUGAAACUUAAAGGAAUUGGCGGGGGAGCAC
RNAcentral lists this ribosomal RNA (793 nucleotides) under uncultured archaeon. RNAcentral describes it as "bacterial SSU rRNA". It matches the Rfam family "Archaeal small subunit ribosomal RNA", at positions 85 to 879 of the family's 1478-position model. The record is from RNAcentral.